Molecule: ribosomal RNA, 274 nt
Filed under: uncultured bacterium
Lineage: Bacteria
Description: partial 16S ribosomal RNA
Rfam family: Bacterial small subunit ribosomal RNA
Source: RNAcentral
AUACGGAGGGGGUUAGCGUUGUUCGGAAUUACUGGGCGUAAAGCGCACGUAGGCGGACUGGAAAGUUGGGGGUGAAAUCCCGGGGCUCAACCCCGGAACUGCCUCCAAAACUUCCAAUCUAGAGAUCGAGAGAGGUGAGUGGAAUUCCAAGUGUAGAGGUGAAAUUCGUAGAUAUUUGGAGGAACACCAGUGGCGAAGGCGGCUCACUGACUCGAUACUGACGCUGAGGUGCGAAAGCGUGGGGAGCAAACAGGAUUAGAAACCCCAGUAGUCC